RNAcentral lists this ribosomal RNA (573 nucleotides) under uncultured bacterium. RNAcentral describes it as "bacterial SSU rRNA". It matches the Rfam family "Bacterial small subunit ribosomal RNA", at positions 334 to 920 of the family's 1533-position model. The record is from RNAcentral.
GAUUCCUACGGGAGGCAGCAGUGGGGAAUCUUGUGCAAUGGACGAAAGUCUGACACAGCCACGCCGCGUGCGGGAAGAAGGCCUUCGGGUUGUAAACCGCUUUCAGCAGGAACGAAAAUGACGGUACCUGCAGAAGAAGGAGCGGCCAACUACGUGCCAGCAGCCGCGGUGACACGUAGGCUCCAAGCGUUGUCCGGAUUUAUUGGGCGUAAAGAGCUCGUAGGCGGUUCAGCAAGUCGGGUGUGAAAACUCUGGGCUCAACCCAGAGCCUGCACCCGAAACUGCUGUGACUAGAGUUCGGUAGGGGAGUGGGGAAUUCCUAGUGUAGCGGUGAAAUGCGCAGAUAUUAGGAGGAACACCGAUGGCGAAGGCACCACUCUGGGCCGAAACUGACGCUGAGGAGCGAAAGCGUGGGUAGCAAACAGGAUUAGAUACCCUGGUAGUCCACGCCGUAAACGAUGGGCACUAGGUGUGGGUCUCUAACCAACGAGAUCCGCGCCGUCGCUAACGCAUUAAGUGCCCCGCCUGGGGAGUACGGUCGCAAGACUAAAACUCAAAGGAAUUGACGGAAUC